This 1592-nucleotide ribosomal RNA is filed under the name Triticum aestivum (bread wheat). RNAcentral describes it as "partial small subunit ribosomal RNA". The record is from RNAcentral. Lineage: Eukaryota; Viridiplantae; Streptophyta; Magnoliopsida; Poales; Poaceae.
GGGCACCUAGCUAGCUAGCUGGCCCGCCCGCGGUGAGGUGAGGGGUGAGCGGUUUUGCCUCUGCCUUUUGGUGGUGGGUUUACUAGGCGGGUGAGAGAGAAGGGGAGGGGGAGGAGGCGACAGGGCGGGGGCGUGCGGAGAGCGCGGGCGGCGGAGGAGGGGGCGGAGGUGGGGUUCCAUUGGCGGUAGUAGAGGAGCUAGGGGUGGUGGGGUCGCAAUAGAGGUAGUGGAGAGUGUUGACGAUCUAGAGGUGGGGGGAGGGAGGAGGUCCGUGUGUCCGGGGUCCCUUGACGGCAGAAGAGGCGCGCGUGCCGUCCGGCGUCUCCGUGGCGGCGGCGAGGAGGAGGUCGCGGUCGGAGAGGCAGAGGCCGGGCCUCUACCUAGGGCGGCGCGCCUUCCUAGACAUGGGCGUGCAGCUCGGGAAGCUGUGGCCGGCGGAGUCCCAGAGGCUGCAGGUGUGGUAGAUGAUGCUCGUCAGGCCCUUGGGGCCCCCGGUGGGGCAGCAGAAGGAGGUGCCGCCGGGACCCCGGCCGUGGAGCGGCCCGUUGGCGUCCAAGAAGCUAGGCCUCAAGAUGUCCUAGCACGACAAGCUGGUCUCUCCGCGGCCGUUCUCGUGAGGGGUACGAACAGAUCUCGUCUUGUGGUGGACCCUGAACCACCGACUGUAACUCUUCGAGUCCGUCGUGGAGCUGUAAGGUCUCACCGUCCACAAGCCGCCAAGUACCCCUUCGUGGAACCGGGAGCGGAUGUCGGUCUGAGUGGGACUAUUCCAGUGACCGUAACAAAAUUCUCCGUAAAAGAACGAAUCCUUUUUCCUCGAACUGACCAAGAUGCUCCCGCCGCGUCGUCGACAAAAGGGUCUACGUACCCUCGGUAAAUCUCUAAAAUAAGGACUCCUGCUUUCCUUAACAAAGUAUCGACGAAUGUCGUUUUCCGAUUGAAGGAGACUGCGACUACAGGUCUAACUUCGACGAUUCUCUACCUGUUGUACCCUCUACUACUGACGUGUAGAAGAAGUUUUAGUACUCUUGUAGUUUGCUCCUCUCCUGCUGUUUAAAAGUAACCGUAAACGUUCCUAACUUUUGGUGAUGAAGUAAUUGUUCCCUAAGAAUCUGAGCCUGAGAGUGAAUAACCUGUUGCAGCUGUUUUAAGCAGUGUAAUUUAGAAAGUAACAUGUCCCCGCCAUACUAUACACGACAGGAUACUACAGACGAACCCUAGAAGUAUUUCGAACCGGACUUCGACUCAAAUUCCACCAAGGUCUACGUCCUGUGAGCCGGUUACUUCAACCGCAACGCCGACUUGACCAUAGUCGAUUGCUUUUCGAAUUUCCGUACAACUUUUUUACUCGUCGGACUGAGGUAUCGCCGUGUGUCGGAGACCGUUUCUUAAAGUCGAGUUAAAAUGACCCCAGUGCAACGUUUUAUUCUUGACCAUGAUGGUAAAAUCGUAAAUCGUGUCGGACUAACAUGCACAGUUUGUCAAGGGAUAAGUUAGUUUCAACAGACAGAAUUAAAUCAGUGAAUCCGAACAAAGGACUACACACAAAAAAAAAUUCUUUUCCAAGUUCGGAUCGGGCUGAAACUUAAUUA